CAGUCGAGGGCCGAACUUCUCAAAGU
RNAcentral lists this small RNA (26 nucleotides) under Bombyx mori (domestic silkworm). RNAcentral's name for it is "ovarian small RNA-4734". Lineage: Eukaryota; Metazoa; Arthropoda; Insecta; Lepidoptera; Bombycidae. The record is from RNAcentral.